RNAcentral lists this ribosomal RNA (253 nucleotides) under uncultured bacterium. RNAcentral's name for it is "partial 16S ribosomal RNA". It matches the Rfam family "Bacterial small subunit ribosomal RNA", at positions 524 to 776 of the family's 1533-position model. The record is from RNAcentral.
GACGUGGGGGGCCAGCGUUGUUCGGAAUUACUGGGUGUAAAGGGUUCGUAGGCGGUGUGGCAAGUUGGGAGUGAAAUCUCUGGGCUCAACCCAGAGGCUGCUUCCAAGACUGCUGUGCUGGAGUGUGGGAGAGGCGCGUGGAAUUGCAGGUGUAGCGGUGAAAUGCGUAGAUAUCUGCAGGAACACCCGUGGCGAAAGCGGCGCGCUGGACCACUACUGACGCUGAGACGCGAAAGCGUGGGGAGCGAACCGG